AGUGGGGAAUAUUGCACAAUGAGGGAAACCUUGAUGCAGCCAUGCCGCGUGUGUGAAGAAGGCCCGAGGGUUGUAAAGCACUUUCAAUUGUGAGGAAGAUUAAGUAGCUAAUAUCUGCUUAAUUUGACGUUAACUUUAGAAGAAGCACCGGCUAACUCUGUGCCAGCAGCCGCGGUAAUACAGAGGGUGCAAGCGUUAUUCGGAAUUACUGGGCGUAAAGCGCGCGUAGGCGGACUGUUAAGUCGGUUGUGAAAGCCCUGGGCUCAACCUAGGAACUGCAUCCGAUACUGGCAAUCUAGAGUUUAAGAGAGGGAAGUGGAAUUCCAGGUGUAGCAGUGAAAUGCGUAGAUAUCUGGAGGAACAUCAGUGGCGAAGGCGACUUCCUGGCUUAAAACUGACGCUGAGGUGCGAAAGCUUGGGUAGCGAACGGGAUUAGAUACCCCGGUAGUCCAAGCCGUAAACGAUGUCAACUAGCUGUUGGUCUUAUUAAAAAGAUUAGUAGCGUAGCUAACGCGAUAAGUUGACCGCCUGGGGAGUACGGUCGCAAGAUUAAAACUCAAAGGAAUUGACGGGGGCCCGCACAAGCGGUGGAGCAUGUGGUUUAAUUCGAUGCAACGCGAAGAACCUUACCAUCCCUUGACAUCCUGCGAACUUUCUAGAGAUAGAUUGGUGCCUUCGGGAACGCAGUGACAGGUGCUGCAUGGCUGUCGUCAGCUCGUGUCGUGAGAUGUUGGGUUAAGUCCCGCAACGAGCGCAACCCUUAUCAUUAGUUGCUAACAUUUAGUUGAGAACUCUAAUGAGACUGCCGGUGAUAAACCGGAGGAAGGCGGGGACGACGUCAAGUCAUCAUGGCCCUUAUGGGAUGGGCUACACACGUGCUACAAUGGGGGGUACAAAGAGCAGCCAACUGGCGACAGUGCGCGAAUCUCAUAAAACCUCUCGUAGUCCGGAUCGGAGUCUGCAACUCGACUCCGUGAAGUCGGAAUCGCUAGUAAUCGUGAAUCAGAAGGUCACGGUGAAUACGU
Molecule: ribosomal RNA, 1025 nt
Filed under: uncultured bacterium
Lineage: Bacteria
Description: bacterial SSU rRNA
Rfam family: Bacterial small subunit ribosomal RNA
Source: RNAcentral